UACGUAGGGGGCAAGCGUUGUCCGGAAUUAUUGGGCGUAAAGCGCGCGCAGGCGGUCCUUUAAGUCUGAUGUGAAAGCCCACGGCUCAACCGUGGAGGGGCAUUUGAAACUGUCAGACUAGAGUGCAGCAGAGGAUAGUGGAAUUCCCGGUGUAGUGGUGAAAUGCGUAGAUAUCGGGAGGAACACCAGUGGCGAAGGCGACUAUCUGGGCUGCAACUGACGCUGAGGCGCGAAGGCUAGGGUAGCAAACAGG
RNAcentral lists this ribosomal RNA (253 nucleotides) under uncultured bacterium. RNAcentral's name for it is "partial 16S ribosomal RNA". It matches the Rfam family "Bacterial small subunit ribosomal RNA", at positions 524 to 776 of the family's 1533-position model. The record is from RNAcentral.